Molecule: non-coding RNA, 72 nt
Organism: Phrynosoma platyrhinos (Desert horned lizard)
Lineage: Eukaryota; Metazoa; Chordata; Lepidosauria; Squamata; Phrynosomatidae
Source: the annotation of a GenBank genome assembly
GCCAGUGUGGUGCAGUGGUUUGGUUGCUGGACUAUGACUCUAGAGACCAGAGUUUGAAUCCCAGCUCAGCCA